This 3003-nucleotide ribosomal RNA is filed under the name Candidatus Altimarinota bacterium. Its description in RNAcentral is "23S ribosomal RNA". It matches the Rfam family "Bacterial large subunit ribosomal RNA". The record is from RNAcentral. Lineage: Bacteria; Candidatus Altimarinota.
UAAAAGUUACUAUAAGGCAAAGAAUGGAUGCCCUGACACCAAAUUUCGAUGAAGGACGCGACUAGCUGCGAUAAGCUUCGGUGAGCUGCUUGUAAGCUUUGACCCGGAGAUUUCCGAAUGGGGCAACCCCUCCCAAGUAAUGUUGGGAGACCCACCUACUAAGUAGGUGUGGAGAACACGCAGAGAAUUGAAACAUCUUAGUACCUGCGGAAAAGAAAUCAACAGAGAUUCCCCUAGUAGUGGCGAGCGAACGGGGAUCAGCCCAAACCUUUUUAUUUCGAUAGAAAGGGGUUGUAGGACUUCAAUGUGGAAUAUACGUUUUUAGAAGAACAGUCUGGAAAGGCUGACCAUAGAGGGUUACAGUCCCGUAAUUGAAAAGAAUGUAUUACCUAGAAGUAUCCUGAGUAGGAUCGGACACGUGUAAUCCGGUUUGAAUCUGGGGAGACCACUCUCCAAGGCUAAAUAGAUUUGGUGAUCGAUAGCGGAUAGUACCGUGAGGGAAUGGUGAAAAGAACCCCUGUGAGGGGAGUGAAAUAGAUCCUGAAAUUCUUUGCUGACAUGGACUCGGAGCUGCAUUUAUGCAGUGACGGGGUGCUUUUUGUAGAACGAACCAACGAGUUAGCGGUAUGGUGCGAGGUUAAGGGAGUAUUACCCGGAGCCGUAGUGAAAGCGAGGAUGAAUAGUCCGAUUAGUACCAUGCCCUAGACCCGAAGCCGGAUGAGCUACCCAUGGCCAGGUUGAAGUUUAACGAAAGUUAAAUGGAGGACCGAACUCAAGAGUGUUGCAAGACUCUGGGAUGAGCUGUGGGUUGUAGAGAAAUUCUUAUCGAAUUCGGCGAUAGCUGGUUCUCCUCGAUAUAGCUUUAGGGCUAGCCUUGUUUUCGAAACAUAAAGGGGUAGAGCACUGUUUCGGCUAGGGAGCGAAAUAAGCUUACCAACCCGAUGCAAACUUCGAAUACUUUAUGUGGAUUAACAGGAGUCAGACGGUGACAGCGAAGUGCCAUCGUCAUGAGGGAAACAGCCCAGACCAUCAUCUAAGGUCCCUAAUAAACGUUUAGUGGUAAAGGAUGUACAGUCGCAUAGACAACCAGGAUGUUGGCUUAGAAGCAGCCAUCAUUUAAAGAAAGCGUAAUAGCUCACUGGUCAAUGCGAUUGCGCGCCUAAAAUAUAACGGGGCUCAAACGUUUAACCGAAGAUGUGGAUUUAUAUCAGUUUCGACUGAUUUAAGUGGUAGAGGAGCGUUCAUGCCAGCAGUGAAGGUCAAUCGUGAGGUUGGCUGGAGCGGCAUGAAGUGAGAAUGUUGGUAUAAGUAACCAAAUGAAAGUGAAAAUCUUUCACACCGUAUGCCCAAGGUUUCCCAAGCCACGGUUAUCGACUUGGGGUUAGUCGGUCCUAAGGUCAGGCUGAAAAGCGUAGCUGAUGGACAACAGGUUAAUAUUCCUGUACAAUGUUAUUUUCGCCAAAGCAAUACUGGAUAAGUUGCACAAGUCUAUCGUACCACUUCGGUGGUAUAUCAGAUGAGUGUGACCUGAAGGUGGCGCUAACUCAGGGGGGACGCGGAAGGAUAAUGAGAGCGUGUUAAGAAUUCACGUAUAAGUAGUAAGCCCAUGUCUUGAUAGGUAAAUCCGUCAAGAUUCGCGAGCUACGAUGUCGAAUGGUUGGACGAAAGUCUGAUCGAGUCUCUGCGCUUCAUCCGCCAAGAAAAACCUCGGUAGUGAGAAAAUAAUGUUACCGUACCGCAAACCAACUCCGGUGGGCGAGUAGAAUAUACGAAGGUGGACGGGAUAACUCUUGUUAAGGAACUCGGCAAAACAGUAGGCGUAACUUCGGGAUAAGCCUUACUUUUUCGCUCAUGUUUUCAUGAAGUGGCGAAGUCGCAGCUAAUGAUUCCAGGCAACUGUUUACCAAAAACACAGGUCUCUGCAAACCCGUAAGGGUAAGUAUAGGGGCUGACGCUUGGCCAGUGCCAGAAGGUCACGAGGAGGGGUUUACGCUCCGAAUCUAAGCCCUGGUGAACGCCGGCCGUAACUAUAACGGUCCUAAGGUAGCGAAAUUCCUUGUCAGGUAAGUUCUGACCCGCACGAAUAGCGUAAUGGUUCUGGAAACUGUCUCGACAAGAGUCCCGGUGAAAUUGCAAAGUCGGUAAAAAUGCCGACUCAUUGUGGUAGGGCGAAGAGACCCCGUGCAGCUUUACUGCAGCUUGGCAUUGAUUUGAGGUAUAAUUUGCGCAGGAUAGGUGGGACACUUUGAAGUCUGGAUUUUGGUUCAGGCGGAGUGGCCGUUGAGAUACCACCCUUAUUAUAUUUUGACUCUAACCUCUAGGUUUUAAUCAACCAGGGAGACAGUGUUUGGCAGGCAGUUUAUCUGGGGCGGAUGCCUCCUAAAGAGUAACGGAGGCGUACAAAGGUUGGCUAAUUUCGGAUGGAAACCGAAAGUGUCGUAUAAGUGCAUAAGCCAGCUUAACUGCAAGGCAUACAAGCCGAGCAGAUACGAAAGUAGGUACUAGUGAUCCGGUAGUUCCACGUGGGUGGACUAUCGCUCAACGGAUAAAAGUUACGCCGGGGAUAACAGGCUAGUCUGGUCCAAGAGUUCACAUCGACGACCAGGUUCGGCACCUCGAUGUCGGCUCGUCGCAUCCUGGGGGUGAAGAAGCUCCCAAGGGUUUGGCUGUUCGCCAAUUAAAGCGGCACGCGAGCUGGGUUCAAAACGUCGUGAGACAGUUUGGCCUCUACCCUCCACAAUCGUCAGAGAUUUGCAGGAAUUUGUCCCUAGUACGAGAGGACCGGGAUGAACGAACCUCCAGUAUAUCUGUUGUCACAUCAGUGGCAUGGCAGAGUAGCUGUGUUCGGAUCGGAUAACCGCUGAAGGCAUCUAAGCGGGAAACCAUGCCUAAGAUUAGAUCUCUCAAUUAGCCUCCUGGAAGACUACCAGGUUGAUAGGUUACAGGUGCAAGCUCCGUGAGGAGUUCAGCCGAGUAAUACUAACAGGCGAUCGAACUUUUUUA